CCUACGGGAGGCAGCAGUAGGGAAUCUUUCACAAUGGGCGAAAGCCUGAUGGAGCAACGCCGCGUGCAGGAUGAAGGCCUUCGGGUUGUAAACUGCUUUUAUAAGCGAGAAAUAUGAUGGUAACUUAUGAAUAAGGAUCGGCUAACUACGUGCCAGCAGCCGCGGUCAUACGUAGGAGCCGAGCAUUAUCCGGAGUGACUGGGUGUAAAGAGUUGCGUAGGUGGCAUAAUAAGUAGCUAGUGAAAUCUGGUGGCUCAACCAUUCAGACUAUUAGCUAAACUGUUAAGCUCGAGACCGUUAGGGGUAACUGGAAUGUGUAGUGUAGGAGUGAAAUCCGUAGAUAUUAGAAGGAACACCAAUAGCGUAGGCAGGUUGCUGGGACGGUUCUGACACUAAGGCACGAAAGCGUAGGGAGCAAACGGGAUUAGAUACCCGUGUAGUC
RNAcentral lists this ribosomal RNA (442 nucleotides) under uncultured bacterium. RNAcentral describes it as "partial 16S ribosomal RNA". It matches the Rfam family "Bacterial small subunit ribosomal RNA", at positions 338 to 795 of the family's 1533-position model. The record is from RNAcentral.